GCCAGGCAUGGUGGUGCAUACCUGUAAUCCCAGCAACUCAGGAGGCUGAGGCAGAAGGAUCUCAAGUUCCAGGCCAGCAUGGGCAACUUGGUGAGGCUCUGUCUCAA
RNAcentral lists this small RNA (107 nucleotides) under Marmota monax (woodchuck). The record is from RNAcentral. Lineage: Eukaryota; Metazoa; Chordata; Mammalia; Rodentia; Sciuridae.